AGGACAUAUAGCUCAGCGGUAGAGCAUGGGAUUGCAAAUAAUGCAACAUCAUCCUAUGGUCGUGUGUUCGAUUCACACUAUGUCCUG
This 87-nucleotide transfer RNA is filed under the name compost metagenome. RNAcentral describes it as "tRNA-Ala". It matches the Rfam family "tRNA". Rfam says of the family: Transfer RNA (tRNA) molecules are approximately 80 nucleotides in length. The record is from RNAcentral.